GAAAUAUGAACUUACCCUUAAUGGAAGAAUCUCUGAAUGAAAUUGAAAACAAUUCAGAACUCUUGCCAAAGGAAAUUGACCAACUUCAAGAUUUCAUAACAGCAUUUGAAAAUUUUCCACAAUUUAAGGCAAGUCUUCACAAAUUAGAAUUAAUAACUUAAUAAUUUUAUUUGAUGAAACAAGUAUUUAAUAUGUAACUAGAUUUAUCAAUAACAACAUAGUAUAUACAUGAUAUAAACCAAUUUGAAUGCAUAAAAAUAUUACAAAGCCAAAAUAAUUAAUAUUUAAAUACAAAUAACAUUUUUAAUCUGUGAAGUAAUGUUUCAAUUAGCAAUUUAUUACCUUGUUCUUUUGAAAAGACACUAACAAGAUUUAAGAUUUAUUUUAUAGUCCAAAUAGAUAAGACAUUCAAAAUCUAACAAAUGUGUUUACUCCUACAGAUAUCUUUUUAAGAUUUAUGGUAUAAGAAAGUUAAUAUCAAUUUUUCAUUGCUUUAAUGAAUAUUUUUUUCACAACAGGAUUCGCAAGAUACAACACCAUUAGAAGCUGGCAAUUUGAUUACCCCUCAAAAGGCAUGUUCACAUUUUAAAAUUUUGAUAGCUAUAAUAAAUUCAAAAAUAUUUAUUCUUCUGAUGCAUAUUACAAUAAUGUAAUAAUAAACCCAAACUAACUUUUUGAUAAAAGAUGCACAAAUUAUUAAUGUUUGGACUUAACUGUUUUUUACAAUCAUUUCAUUAAGAAUAAAGAACUUCAAUUAACUAAUUUGAUAUACAUAAGAUCCACAAAUAAUCUCACAUUUAUAAUUUUAAACAGAAAGAAAUAUUGCCUGAAGAUACCCCAUCUACUAGUUACAGC
Molecule: long non-coding RNA, 855 nt
Filed under: Mytilus galloprovincialis (Mediterranean mussel)
Lineage: Eukaryota; Metazoa; Mollusca; Bivalvia; Mytilida; Mytilidae
Source: RNAcentral